CCCGUCCAGCCAUGCGAACUUUCAGACUUGAGUGCAGGAGAGGGAAGUGGAAUUCCUAGUGUAGCGGUGAAAUGCGUAGAUAUUAGGAGGAACAUCAGUGGCGAAGGCGACUUCCUGGACUGUAACUGACACUGAGGUACGAAAGCGUGGGUAGCAAACAGGAUUAGAUACCCUGGUAGUCCACGCCGUAAACGAUGAGCACUAGGUGUCGGGGUCGCAAGACUUCGGUGCCGCAGUUAACGCAUUAAGUGCUCCGCCUGGGGAGUACGUGCGCAAGCAUGAAACUCAAAGGAAUUGACGGGGACCCGCACAAGCAGCGGAGCAUGUGGUUUAAUUCGAAGCAACGCGAAGAACCUUACCAGGGCUUGACAUCCCUCUGACCGACCGGUAACGCGGUCUUCUCUUCGGAGCAGAGGUGACAGGUGGUGCAUGGUUGUCGUCAGCUCGUGUCGUGAGAUGUUGGGUUAAGUCCCGCAACGAGCGCAACCCUUGUCGUUAGUUGCCAUCAUUGAGUUGGGCACUCUAAUGAGACUGCCGGGGAUAACUCGGAGGAAGGUGGGGAUGACGUCAAAUCAUCAUGCCCCUUAUGUUCUGGGCUACACACGUGCUACAAUGGCCGGUACAGAGAGAUGCAAUACCGUGAGGUGGAGCCAAACUCAAAAACCGGUCCCAGUUCGGAUUGCGGGCUGCAACUCGCCUGCAUGAAGUAGGAGUUGCUAGUAAUCGCGAAUCAGAACGUCGCGGUGAAUGCGUUCCCGGGUCUUGUACACACCGCCCGUCACACCAUGGAAGUUGGGGGCGCCCGAAGUUGGUCACAAAAUCGAUUACCUAAGGCGAAACCGAUAACUAGGGUGAAGUCGUAACAAGGUAGCCGUA
This 876-nucleotide ribosomal RNA is filed under the name uncultured bacterium. RNAcentral's name for it is "bacterial SSU rRNA". It matches the Rfam family "Bacterial small subunit ribosomal RNA", at positions 615 to 1504 of the family's 1533-position model. The record is from RNAcentral.